RNAcentral lists this transfer RNA (89 nucleotides) under Hylemonella gracilis ATCC 19624. It matches the Rfam family "tRNA". From Rfam's summary of the family: Transfer RNA (tRNA) molecules are approximately 80 nucleotides in length. Their secondary structure includes four short double-helical elements and three loops (D, anti-codon, and T loops). Further hydrogen bonds mediate the characteristic L-shaped molecular structure. tRNAs have two regions of fundamental functional importance: the anti-codon, which is responsible for specific mRNA codon recognition, and the 3' end, to which the tRNAs corresponding amino acid is attached (by aminoacyl-tRNA synthetases). tRNAs cope with the degeneracy of the genetic code in two manners: having more than one tRNA (with a specific anti-codon) for a particular amino acid; and 'wobble' base-pairing, i.e. permitting non-standard base-pairing at the 3rd anti-codon position. The record is from Rfam by way of RNAcentral. Lineage: Bacteria; Pseudomonadati; Pseudomonadota; Betaproteobacteria; Burkholderiales; Comamonadaceae.
GCCUCGAUGGUGAAAUUGGUAGACACAGCGGACUUAAAAUCCGCCGCAGCCUGAAAGGGCGCGUACCGGUUCGACCCCGGUUCGAGGCA